Molecule: ribosomal RNA, 506 nt
Filed under: uncultured glomeraceous AM fungus
Lineage: Eukaryota; Fungi; Glomeromycota; Glomeromycetes; Glomerales; Glomeraceae
Description: SSU rRNA
Rfam family: Eukaryotic small subunit ribosomal RNA
Source: RNAcentral
UCCAAUAGCGUAUAUUAAAGUUGUUGCAGUUAAAAAGCUCGUAGUUGAAUUUCGGGGUCAGUAGGUCGGUCGUGCCACUGGUAUGAACUGGUUUCACUGAUUCCUCCCUCUUGUAGAACCGUGAUGCCAUUAAUUUGGUGUUGCGGGGAAACAGGACUGUUACUUUGAAAAAAUUAGAGUGUUUAAAGCGAGCUAACGCUUGAACACAUUAGCAUGGAAUAAUGAAAUAGGACGUCUGUCUUAUUUUGUCGGUUUCUAGGAUGGACGUAAUGAUUAAUAGGGAUAGUUGGGGGCAUUAGUAUUCAAUUGUCAGAGGUGAAAUUCUUGGAUUUAUUGAAGACUAGCUACUGCGAAAGCAUUUGCCAAGGAUGUUUUCAUUAAUCAAGAACGAAAGUUAGGGGAUCGAAGACGAUCAGAUACCGUCGUAGUCUUAACCAUAAACUAUGCCGACUAGGGAUCGGAUGAUGUUAAUUUUUUAAUGACUCAUUCGGCGCCUUACGGGAAAC